This 240-nucleotide unclassified non-coding RNA is filed under the name soil metagenome. RNAcentral's name for it is "partial contains 5.8S ribosomal RNA, internal transcribed spacer 2, and large subunit ribosomal RNA". The record is from RNAcentral.
AACCUUAUGGACCUGCGGGCGUAUACCUGCGGAGGGAUCAUUAACCUUUCAAAAAACAGGGUGCGUCGCGGCCCCCCUCCGGGGGCGGUUUGGGGUCCUCCCCUUCACGCGCGCACGACUGCAUCCUUACUUUACGAGCACCUUCUGUUCUCCCUCGGCGGGGCAACCUGCCGUUGGAACCGAAUAAACCCUUUUUUGCAUCCAGCAUUACCCGUUCCGAAACAAACAAUCGUUACAACU